UCUGUAUUCAGAAAGAGGAAAAAACAACGCAAACAGUUCAAAGAGAAUACUGACACCUCAAAAAAGUUGGGAAAGAGGAUUCAAACAAUAAAGUUGAAUAUGAAGCCAAAAAAAAUGUUGGAAGGAAUUCUUUUGGAUGAAAUUUUCUUUGAAAAAUACUAGUUUGAUAAACCUGAGACAGACAGUUUAACGUGCACCAUGCGGUUAUAGCUGAUUUGGUGACCUUUAUAUCAG
This 234-nucleotide unclassified non-coding RNA is filed under the name Hevea brasiliensis (rubber tree). Lineage: Eukaryota; Viridiplantae; Streptophyta; Magnoliopsida; Malpighiales; Euphorbiaceae. The record is from RNAcentral.